RNAcentral lists this non-coding RNA (514 nucleotides) under Mesitornis unicolor (brown roatelo). RNAcentral describes it as "Eukaryotic large subunit ribosomal RNA". It matches the Rfam family "Eukaryotic large subunit ribosomal RNA", at positions 1888 to 2432 of the family's 3401-position model. The record is from Rfam by way of RNAcentral. Lineage: Eukaryota; Metazoa; Chordata; Aves; Mesitornithiformes; Mesitornithidae.
CAUUGGACCACGAGGAAAAUGGAAUGCAGGAAAUAACAUAGUGUUGGAAAAAAUAGGGCGCUCUCAUUCCCAACGCGAAAAGGUUGCGAGGCGAUUGUCAAAUUACGCACUGAUGUCUUCGGUAUAGUACACAUCUUUGCUAGUCUGCCUAGGAAGAUGUCAGUGUAAGGUGUCUUAUAUGUUACGGUCUGGACUUUGUAAUGUUUUUCUGUUACCUAUAGUAAACUACAGAGCGUGAGCAUCCCGUGAUGAUUACAAGAUCAUGACAUCGUCACAAGCAUACUCACAGGCUUGGACUAUGGUGGAUGGGCCACCGUUACUUAACCUGAAGAUGAGUGGCACUUUGGCUAUUUUCGAGUAAGACACAAAUGCCUCGUCAUCUAAUUAGCGACGCGCAUGAAUGGAUGAACGAGAUUCCCACUGUCCCUACCUACUAUCCAGUGAAAUCACAGCCAAGGGAAAGGGCUUGGCCGAAUCAGCAGGGAAGGAAGACCCUGUUGAGCUUGACUCUAGU